CAAAGGGGUUGAACUUCUUCUCUGCUUUAGAGCAGAUCAACUCAGAACAAAAUUUUCAAGAAUUUACUUUGUUCUUUUGCUUCUUGUUUUAAAUAUUGAUAUGAUUUUACGGCUGCAGUUGAAAGUAUAAAUUUAAAAAGCGCAUUACUUGCUUUCGAUCUCUAUGUCUAUAAGAGAACAACAUUAAGCGAGACUGUAGAGGGACACCUUAGGGAGUCCCACUUUUAUGACAGACCAAACACCAGAAACCAUUCAAAAUAGCAGCAGAUAACUGAGAGGACAAUGUAUUCUAGAGAUGAAAAGACAGGAAAGACCUGUGAAGAGUUCACAGGAAGCUUUGUUGAAACUUUCAGGUGGUUGAUCAAUCUCAUUUUUCUCUCUUUGCCUGCCUUCUACUUAGAAGUGCUCUUUCUAUGUAAGGAUGGCCAGCGUAUCUGAGGUCCCAAGGUACCAGUCUACUGAUGGUAGCCAAAGUUUGGACCGAAACGAUCGGAAAAAAAAAAGACUCGCAAUGAUCUUUGCCCUGAGUAUAGAAAAGGCAGCAGCAAGCUUUGAAACUCUCUGAAAGAUAGUCCCUCUUGCUGAGUUCAAAGAAGUGGUUAUUGUCAUGGGGAGAUAAGGAAGUGGGACUAUUGAUCCACUCAGAAAGUUGUCUUUAGAUUUUCAGCUGAUCGUUUUACUGCUCUGAAUCUCCUCAGAGAUAGAGUUAUAGUGUAAAUUAGAGCCUCCGUGCAAUAUUACAGGACACAAUGCACUAUUUAUUGAACAUUCCAGCAAUUUUACAGCACUUUUUCUUAAAUCAAAACUUCUACAUCAAUGCAGCAAAACUCGAAUUGCAGCAAAACACAAUUUUGGAAAUAGAAGACUGCUAUUUCUUUGAGUGGAUGAGUUUUGAAUUGGAUGUAGAGCUCCAUUAAUCCACCAGCACGAGCUAAAGUUGAUUGCAGCUAAAACUACAGAUGUCAUUUCAGCUUAAAAUGUGCACAAACACUUUACCCAGGUUUCCACUCAUUCAGAGCAGUGGAAAUAGUUUACCUGAGAGUUGCUUUUUUUUUCUUUUUUGCCACUUUAGAGAUGCUUAUAGAGGCAGUUUGCAGCUUCAAAGGUUGACUUCUAUCUCAAGGGCAACCAUAAUUCCAAGAAGACACACUUGCACACAUGCAGAGGCACACACAUCCUUCACAAACAUACACACAGUCCAGAGUGCUGUAAUAGAACUCUAGGAGGGUUCUCUUCGCCUGAUGCAUCCUGUUGUUUUUGUUUCACAGAAUUUCACUUCUUCAUCGUCUCCCCAGCCUGGGUUGUGGGGCAUCAAACCAAGGACAUUACAAGUGAGAAAAGACAUAUAAAAAAGAGGGGAAGAAGAAGAAGAAGUGCCAAAGAGAAUAAGGGAAUAGAAAAAUAUCAAAAAACCCCAGUGGGCGUGAAAGUAAGGCUGCGAUAGAGCCAAGAGGAAAAAGAGCAGAGAGGUGAGAAGUGGGAAAAAAGAAAAAAGCAGAGGAAAAAAAGGAAGAGUCGUGAAAGUGUAAAGUAACAUGAGUGAAGGAGAAGUUUCAUGCAGCAGGUGACAGAGACAAAGGGACAGAAAGCUGCUGAGAUGAAGAACGGGAGUUUCUCUGAGGGCAGUCUUCUCAGGAUGGAAGAAAGUGAGAGAACUGAGGAACAGCAGGGGAUAGAAACAAAAUACGUCAGGAGAUAUUUGGUCGUCUCUGAGCACUCCUAUUACUACACUGUCAACCUUAAACAUCUAUGAUAGCACAUCUACAAUGAUAUCAUUGUGACAUGAUUACUUUGUGCUGACUUACGCACAUCCUGACAAGUGAGUGCUUUAACCUAAUGCUAACAAGCUGAGAUGUUAAGGAAGUACAAAGUGUUAUCUAAAGCAUCACACUACAGCUAAACAUAUUUGCAUUUACUAUACUCCGCUGAAGAGAGAUCAAAAACUUAUCGAAAGAAGUGCUGAAACAAUCAAACAAAAAAUAAGAGGGGUUUGACUGGUCUCAGUAAUGACCAGUGUUGGGUAAUAACGCGUUGUUUUGUAAAAUUCAGUAAGUCUGUUUCCGUUACCAAACAUUGCGUUACUCUGUUACAGGUCAGGGCACAGCAUGAUGGUGAGCGAGAGGGGGGAGAUAAGUUUCUCCCUAUGGAGAUACAUUAUUUUCAACUCAAGAGCAAAGGGAAAAGCAACAUUUCGGUAACAUGCUAACUGUGUCAAAUUUUUUUUUCUACAGCAAACAACAGCAACAGCAAUCUACUGAAGCACCUAGAGAAGCAGCAUGCUUCGACAAAGUUAGAAACUAAGGUACCUAAUGCAGCGCCCGAGACUGAGAGUCACAGCAACGAGCACACACCCACUCCACCCACGCAGCAGUGGUUGGAGUUCGAAAGAGGACCCAUAGCCAAGCACAACUUGAUAAAACAAUAGCAUGGGAUGUUUAAUUGUUUAUUUGGAUAUCUUUUAGCACAAUUAGGCUAUAAUUCCAAGAGUCCAAUGGUAAAAUUUUGGUGUUAGUGUCAAGGUUUGUGUUGGUGCACAACAGAUCAUAUUGCUUGAUUAGAUUCAGUGAUGUGGAUGCAAAUGAGUUGAAACAGUUGUUUUAACCGACAGUUUGCUUUAUUCCACAUCAGUACAGAACUGAAGUGACGGCUAGUGGGGAACUCAAUCAAUCCACCUUUAUUUAACAGGAAGAACAUUUUGCAAGACCCUUAGCACUAUGGCCUACCUCAUAAACACGAGUGCGUUACCAUUGAACCGGCUCAGACAGCGCCUGAGUUAAGGUCUACGUCACAUGCUGAGGAACCAUGGAGAUGAGAAAUGGGCUCAGAAUGGAGAAUAAAAUGGAGAAUCUAACUGAUUCCACCAGUCAGUUAGAUAAAAGUACAUUGGAAAAUAGGCUUAAGGUUGUAAAAGCAAAGCUCCCCAAAAAAAGCUCCCCAAAUGCAUAUAUGAAUUCAACCCAAGACCA
This 2966-nucleotide long non-coding RNA is filed under the name Xyrichtys novacula (pearly razorfish). Lineage: Eukaryota; Metazoa; Chordata; Actinopteri; Labriformes; Labridae. The record is from RNAcentral.